GAGACUGGAAUUCCUGGUGUAGCGGUGAAAUGCGCAGAUAUCAGGAGGAACACCGAUGGCGAAGGCAGGUCUCUGGGCAUUAACUGACGCUGAGGAGCGAAAGCAUGGGGAGCGAACAGGAUUAGAUACCCUGGUAGUCCAUGCCGUAAACGUUGGGCACUAGGUGUGGGGGACAUUCCACGUUUUCCGCGCCGUAGCUAACGCAUUAAGUGCCCCGCCUGGGGAGUACGGCCGCAAGGCUAAAACUCAAAGGAAUUGACGGGGGCCCGCACAAGCGGCGGAGCAUGCGGAUUAAUUCGAUGCAACGCGAAGAACCUUACCAAGGCUUGACAUGAACCGGUAAUACCUGGAGACAGGUGCCCCGCUUGCGGUCGGUUUACAGGUGGUGCAUGGUUGUCGUCAGCUCGUGUCGUGAGAUGUUGGGUUAAGUCCCGCAACGAGCGCAACCCUCGUUCUAUGUUGCCAGCACGUGAUGGUGGGGACUCAUAGGAGACUGCCGGGGUCAACUCGGAGGAAGGUGGGGACGACGUCAAAUCAUCAUGCCCCUUAUGUCUUGGGCUUCACGCAUGCUACAAUGGCCGGUACAAAGGGUUGCGAUACUGUGAGGUGGAGCUAAUCCCAAAAAGCCGGUCUCAGUUCGGAUUGGGGUCUGCAACUCGACCCCAUGAAGUCGGAGUCGCUAGUAAUCGCAGAUCAGCAACGCUGCGGUGAAUACGUUCCCGGGCCUUGUACACACCGCCCGUCAAGUCACGAAAGUUGGUAACACCCGAAGCCGGUG
Molecule: ribosomal RNA, 778 nt
Filed under: unidentified microorganism
Description: bacterial SSU rRNA
Rfam family: Bacterial small subunit ribosomal RNA
Source: RNAcentral